Non-coding RNA from Danio rerio (zebrafish), 71 nucleotides. The record is from Rfam. NCBI's taxonomy places the organism in Eukaryota, Metazoa, Chordata, Actinopteri, Cypriniformes, Danionidae.
GCAUUGGUGGUUCAGUGGUAGAAUUCUCGCCUGCCACGCGGGAGACCCGGGUCCCAUUCCCGGCCAAUGCA